Molecule: ribosomal RNA, 497 nt
Filed under: uncultured bacterium
Lineage: Bacteria
Description: partial 16S ribosomal RNA
Rfam family: Bacterial small subunit ribosomal RNA
Source: RNAcentral
GAUGAACGCUGGCGGCGUGCCUAAUACAUGCAAGUCGAGCGAACAGACGAGGAGCUUGCUCCUCUGACGUUAGCGGCGGACGGGUGAGUAACACGUGGAUAACCUACCUAUAAGACUGGGAUAACUUCGGGAAACCGGAGCUAAUACCGGAUAACAUGUUGAACCGCAUGGUUCAACAGUGAAAGACGGUCUUGCUGUCACUUAUAGAUGGAUCCGCGCCGCAUUAGCUAGUUGGUAAGGUAACGGCUUACCAAGGCAACGAUGCGUAGCCGACCUGAGAGGGGGAUCGGCCACCCUGGAACUGAGACACGGUCCAGACUCCUACGGGAGGCAGCAGUAGGGAAUCUUCCGCAAUGGGCGAAAGCCUUACGGAGCAACGCCGCGUGAGUGAAGAAGGUCUUCGGAUCGUAAAACUCUGUUAUUAGGGAAGAACAAAUGUGUAAGUAACUAUGCACGUCUUGACGGUACCUAAUCAGAAAGCCACGGCUAACUACGUG